Non-coding RNA from Acanthopagrus latus (yellowfin seabream), 67 nucleotides. Lineage: Eukaryota; Metazoa; Chordata; Actinopteri; Spariformes; Sparidae. The record is from the annotation of a RefSeq genome assembly.
AGCCCUGAGGUGUGCCACACAUUGGAUUGCAAAUCCAAAGUAGUAGGCUAAUUGCCUACCGGGGCUU